GAGUUUGAUCUUGGCUCAGAUUGAACGCUGGCGGCAUGCCUUACACAUGCAAGUCGAGCGGAUGACGGGAGCUUGCUCCUUGAUUCAGCGGCGGACGGGUGAGUAAUGCCUGGGAAUCUGCCCGGUAGUGGGGGACAACGUUUCGAAAGGAACGCUAAUACCGCAUACGUCCUACGGGAGAAAGCAGGGGACCUUCGGGCCUUGCGCUAUCAGAUGAGCCUAGGUCGGAUUAGCUAGUUGGUGGGGUAAUGGCUCACCAAGGCGACGAUCCGUAACUGGUCUGAGAGGAUGAUCAGUCACACUGGAACUGAGACACGGUCCAGACUCCUACGGGAGGCAGCAGUGGGGAAUAUUGGACAAUGGGCGAAAGCCUGAUCCAGCCAUGCCGCGUGUGUGAAGAAGGUCUUCGGAUUGUAAAGCACUUUAAGUUGGGAGGAAGGGCAGUAAGUUAAUACCUUGCUGUAUUGACGUUACCGACAGAAUAAGGCACCGGCUAACUCUGU
This 503-nucleotide ribosomal RNA is filed under the name bacterium enrichment culture clone ALO1_GLFRUDD03F4KOW. RNAcentral's name for it is "bacterial SSU rRNA". It matches the Rfam family "Bacterial small subunit ribosomal RNA", at positions 9 to 506 of the family's 1533-position model. The record is from RNAcentral.